This 75-nucleotide transfer RNA is filed under the name Mycoplasmataceae bacterium. RNAcentral's name for it is "tRNA-Gln". It matches the Rfam family "tRNA". Rfam says of the family: Transfer RNA (tRNA) molecules are approximately 80 nucleotides in length. The record is from RNAcentral. Lineage: Bacteria; Bacillati; Mycoplasmatota; Mollicutes; Mycoplasmatales; Mycoplasmataceae.
UGGGAUAUAGCCAAGCGGAAAGGCAACUGGCUCUGAACCAGUGAUGCGAUGGUCCGAAUCCAUCUAUCCCAACCA